This 503-nucleotide ribosomal RNA is filed under the name uncultured bacterium. Its description in RNAcentral is "partial 16S ribosomal RNA". It matches the Rfam family "Bacterial small subunit ribosomal RNA", at positions 30 to 523 of the family's 1533-position model. The record is from RNAcentral.
AUUGAACGCUGGCGGCAGGCUUAACACAUGCAAGUCGAGCGGAGUGAUGGUGCUUGCACUAUCACUUAGCGGCGGACGGGUGAGUAAUGCUUAGGAAUCUGCCUAUUAGUGGGGGACAACAUCUCGAAAGGGAUGCUAAUACCGCAUACGUCCUACGGGAGAAAGCAGGGGCUCACUUGUGACCUUGCGCUAAUAGAUGAGCCUAAGUCGGAUUAGCUAGUUGGUGGGGUAAAGGCCUACCAAGGCGACGAUCUGUAGCGGGUCUGAGAGGAUGAUCCGCCACACUGGGACUGAAGCACGGCCCAGACUCCUACGGGAGGCAGCAGUGGGGAAUAUUGGACAAUGGGGGGAACCCUGAUCCAGCAAUGCCGCGUGUGUGAAGAAGGCCUUAUGGUUGUAAAGCACUUUAAGCGAGGAGGAGGCUCUUUUGGUUAAUACCCAAGAUGAGUGGACGUUACUCGCAGAAUAAGCACCGGCUAACUCUGUGCCAGCCGCCGCAGUAA